RNAcentral lists this transfer RNA (74 nucleotides) under Candidatus Berkelbacteria bacterium. Its description in RNAcentral is "tRNA-Cys". It matches the Rfam family "tRNA". From Rfam's summary of the family: Transfer RNA (tRNA) molecules are approximately 80 nucleotides in length. Their secondary structure includes four short double-helical elements and three loops (D, anti-codon, and T loops). The record is from RNAcentral. Lineage: Bacteria; Candidatus Berkelbacteria.
GGCCACGUAGCCAAGUGGUAGGCAGGAGUCUGCAAAACUCCUAUCCGGCGGUUCGAUUCCGCCCGUGGCCUCCA